CCCGUUUAGCUCAGUGGUAGAGCGCGCCACUCGUAAUGGUGAGGUCGGUUGUUUCAAUCCAGCCAAUGGG
RNAcentral lists this transfer RNA (70 nucleotides) under Trametes cinnabarina. RNAcentral's name for it is "Pycnoporus cinnabarinus tRNA". It matches the Rfam family "tRNA". Rfam says of the family: Transfer RNA (tRNA) molecules are approximately 80 nucleotides in length. Their secondary structure includes four short double-helical elements and three loops (D, anti-codon, and T loops). Further hydrogen bonds mediate the characteristic L-shaped molecular structure. tRNAs have two regions of fundamental functional importance: the anti-codon, which is responsible for specific mRNA codon recognition, and the 3' end, to which the tRNAs corresponding amino acid is attached (by aminoacyl-tRNA synthetases). tRNAs cope with the degeneracy of the genetic code in two manners: having more than one tRNA (with a specific anti-codon) for a particular amino acid; and 'wobble' base-pairing, i.e. permitting non-standard base-pairing at the 3rd anti-codon position. Lineage: Eukaryota; Fungi; Basidiomycota; Agaricomycetes; Polyporales; Polyporaceae. The record is from Rfam by way of RNAcentral.